RNAcentral lists this unclassified non-coding RNA (1117 nucleotides) under Rhabditida environmental sample. RNAcentral's name for it is "sequence contains 18S rRNA gene, ITS1, 5.8S rRNA gene, ITS2, 28S rRNA gene". The stretch from base 694 to 1117 matches the Rfam family "Eukaryotic large subunit ribosomal RNA", at positions 1 to 418 of the family's 3401-position model. The record is from RNAcentral. Lineage: Eukaryota; Metazoa; Nematoda; Chromadorea; Rhabditida.
GGCUGGAUCAUUAUCGAGCCAACAACAAAAAUACGAAUGAGAUUGUGUGGUAGGAGUUAGGUGCGGUACAUUGUGUAUGAUGUACGACUCGCACGCCACAGUGUUCCAACGGCUAACGGUUGGCGUCUAAUCGACUGCCCGAGCAGAUGUGCCCAUGUCCGUGUCUGCGUUGACGGGUCGAGAUACGCAUAGAGUCUACUACUCUAUGCGAAGACUUAAUGAGCCUCAGCGCUAGGGGCUGCCAACCACUCACUCAUUUUUCAAUGAUUUUUCUCGUAUUAACAAAGACAAAAUAUCAGUCUUACCGGUGGAUCACUCGGUUCGUGGAUCGAUGAAGAACGCAGCUAACUGCGAUAAGUAGCGUGAAUUGCAGACGCUUUGAACGUUAAACUUUCGAACGCACAUUGCGCCGUAGGAGUUCUACCCUGCGGCACAUCUGGUUGAGGGUCGUGAUCAAAAACUGCCCGAAUGUAGCAGUAUACAGAUAGCUGGCGAAUUACAAUGCAUUUUGUGGUUCGUCAUAACGCUAUAGAGGACAAUUCUCCACACGAGAGAGUUGCCUGCCACACGGAUGAUCUACUAGUUGACGCAGUAGAUCCCGGUCCCAGGUAUUAUGAGAACGUAUGCCAAGGGAUGCGCGGGGAUACAGCUAGUGGGAGAAUCUGUGCGUGCUAUAUGAGCUAUUCGAUUUCCCGACCUCAACUCAGGUGUGAUUACCCGCUGAACUUAAGCAUAUCAGUAAGCGGAGGAAAAGAAACUAACGAGGAUUCCCUUAGUAACGGCGAGUGAACGGGGAUGAGCCCAGCGCUAAAUCUCGUCGCUCUAACGGGUGCCGAGAGGUGUAGCGUAUAGUAGGUGAUUUUCCUUGUGGGCCGUCGACUUAAAUUCUCCUUGACUGGGGUUCCGUAGAAGGUGAAAGGCCUGUUCAGUCGAUGGCCCGCGUGGAUUCCGCACUACUCGGAGUCGGGUUGUUUGGGAACGCAGCCCAAAUUUGGUGGUAAACUUCAUCUAAGGCUAAAUACGGCCACGAAACCGAUAGCAAACAAGUACCGUGAGGGAAAGUUGAAAAGUACUUUGAAGAGAGAGUUCAAGAGGACGUGAAACCGGUAGGAUGGAA